UGAUCCGGAUUUAUUGGGCGUAAAGGGCUCGUAGGCGGCUCGUCGCGUCCGGUGUGAAAGUCCAUCGCUUAACGGUGGAUCUGCGCCGGGUACGGGCGGGCUGGAGUGCGGUAGGGGAGACUGGAAUUCCCGGUGUAACGGUGGAAUGUGUAGAUAUCGGGAAGAACACCGAUGGCGAAGGCAGGUCUCUGGGCCGUCACUGACGCUGAGGAGCGAAAGCGUGGGGAGCGAACAGGAUUAGAUACCCUGGUAGUCCACGCCGUAAACGGUGGACGCUGGAUGUGGGGCACGUUCCACGUGUUCCGUGUCGGAGCUAACGCGUUAAGCGUCCCGCCUGGGGAGUACGGCCGCAAGGCUAAAACUCAAAGAAAUUGACGGGGGCCCGCACAAGCGGCGGAACAUGCGGAUUAAUUCGAUGCCACGCCAAGAACCUUACCUGGGCUUGACAUGUUCCCCACGACGCCAGAGAUUGCGUUUCCCUUCGGGGCGG
Molecule: ribosomal RNA, 490 nt
Filed under: uncultured bacterium
Lineage: Bacteria
Description: bacterial SSU rRNA
Rfam family: Bacterial small subunit ribosomal RNA
Source: RNAcentral